Long non-coding RNA from Mya arenaria, 613 nucleotides. RefSeq lists it as uncharacterized. The transcript has 4 exons. NCBI's taxonomy places the organism in Eukaryota, Metazoa, Mollusca, Bivalvia, Myida, Myidae. The record is from RefSeq and is a predicted model, not a curated record.
UGUUUCAACUAAGCAUAGGUGUAAAGAGACAACCUAGGAUGAAAGCGUACUUUUACGAUAUUGUUUUCUUUGUUUCACUCCUGUAUUAGAUACCGUCAUUGUGAUAAUCCAAAACCAUCCAACGGAGGAAAGGACUGUAAUGGAUCCUAGUUUGAAAUUUAAAAAAUGUUUUGUAGUCAUACCAUUUGAUGCCAAGUGUACAAUAAAAAACUGAAAUGAAAAUUGACAACAGAAGUGUCAUGGUCUUGGUGGAAAAUGCUGUGUUCUUCAUUGACCUCUGGUUUAAUAAUGGCUGGUGAUAGAAAACUAUCAGGAAUGCUUCAAGCUGGCAAUGGAGGGAAAUGUAAAAGUAGGACACUGAGAAAUCACAAGGUUUCAAACAUCUAGAAUAUGCUCAGUCAUUCUUUUGAAUUUAUAACGGAGAUAAUGAUACUCACCUUAAUGGUUCCAGUGUGUUUUAGGAGAUACCAGACCUAGCAGAUAACUACAUAAAUAUUGACACAGAACAUGAAAUUCAUUGCAUAUCCAAACACAACAUAAGACUUUAAACUGUUAAAUAGGCAGUGAAGCAUUUGUGUGUAACCUUCAUUAUUUGAAAUGAAAUUUCUUAUAU